RNAcentral lists this transfer RNA (77 nucleotides) under Candidatus Mailhella merdavium. RNAcentral's name for it is "tRNA-Arg". It matches the Rfam family "tRNA". From Rfam's summary of the family: Transfer RNA (tRNA) molecules are approximately 80 nucleotides in length. Their secondary structure includes four short double-helical elements and three loops (D, anti-codon, and T loops). The record is from RNAcentral. Lineage: Bacteria; Pseudomonadati; Thermodesulfobacteriota; Desulfovibrionia; Desulfovibrionales; Desulfovibrionaceae.
GCGCUUGUAGCUCAGCUGGAUAGAGCGACAGCCUCCGGAGCUGUAGGCCCGGCGUUCGAAUCGCCGCAGGCGCACCA